RNAcentral lists this ribosomal RNA (892 nucleotides) under Nocardia sp. E1R18_pA. RNAcentral describes it as "bacterial SSU rRNA". It matches the Rfam family "Bacterial small subunit ribosomal RNA", at positions 8 to 916 of the family's 1533-position model. Lineage: Bacteria; Bacillati; Actinomycetota; Actinomycetes; Mycobacteriales; Nocardiaceae. The record is from RNAcentral. RNAcentral also lists the same sequence under 1 other name.
AGAGUUUGAUCCUGGCUCAGGACGAACGCUGGCGGCGUGCUUAACACAUGCAAGUCGAGCGGUAAGGCCCUUCGGGGUACACGAGCGGCGAACGGGUGAGUAACACGUGGGUGAUCUGCCCUGCACUUCGGGAUAAGCCUGGGAAACUGGGUCUAAUACCGGAUAUGACCUCCGAUCGCAUGGUUGGUGGUGGAAAGAUUUAUCGGUGCAGGAUGGGCCCGCGGCCUAUCAGCUUGUUGGUGGGGUAAUGGCCUACCAAGGCGACGACGGGUAGCCGACCUGAGAGGGUGACCGGCCACACUGGGACUGAGACACGGCCCAGACUCCUACGGGAGGCAGCAGUGGGGAAUAUUGCACAAUGGGCGAAAGCCUGAUGCAGCGACGCCGCGUGAGGGACGACGGCCUUCGGGUUGUAAACCUCUUUCAGCAGGGACGAAGCGCAAGUGACGGUACCUGCAGAAGAAGCACCGGCUAACUACGUGCCAGCAGCCGCGGUAAUACGUAGGGUGCAAGCGUUGUCCGGAAUUACUGGGCGUAAAGAGUUCGUAGGCGGUUUGUCACGUCGUUUGUGAAAACUCACAGCUCAACUGUGAGCCUGCAGGCGAUACGGGCAGACUUGAGUACUGCAGGGGAGACUGGAAUUCCUGGUGUAGCGGUGAAAUGCGCAGAUAUCAGGAGGAACACCGGUGGCGAAGGCGGGUCUCUGGGCAGUAACUGACGCUGAGGAACGAAAGCGUGGGUAGCGAACAGGAUUAGAUACCCUGGUAGUCCACGCCGUAAACGGUGGGCGCUAGGUGUGGGUUCCUUCCACGGAAUCCGUGCCGUAGCUAACGCAUUAAGCGCCCCGCCUGGGGAGUACGGCCGCAAGGCUAAAACUCAAAGGAAUUGACGG